UCCUCGGUAGCUCAGCGGUAGAGCAUCCGACUGUUAAUCGGAUGGUCGUAGGUUCGAAUCCUACCCGGGGAGCCA
RNAcentral lists this transfer RNA (75 nucleotides) under Janthinobacterium lividum. RNAcentral's name for it is "tRNA-Asn". It matches the Rfam family "tRNA". Rfam says of the family: Transfer RNA (tRNA) molecules are approximately 80 nucleotides in length. The record is from RNAcentral. RNAcentral also lists the same sequence under 5 other names. Lineage: Bacteria; Pseudomonadati; Pseudomonadota; Betaproteobacteria; Burkholderiales; Oxalobacteraceae.